GGAUCUUUAGCUCAGCUGGUCAGAGCACUCGGCUCAUAACCGAUUGGUCGCAGGUUCGAACCCUGCAAGAUCCACCA
This 77-nucleotide transfer RNA is filed under the name Helicobacter enhydrae. RNAcentral describes it as "Helicobacter sp. MIT 01-6242 tRNA-Met". It matches the Rfam family "tRNA". From Rfam's summary of the family: Transfer RNA (tRNA) molecules are approximately 80 nucleotides in length. Their secondary structure includes four short double-helical elements and three loops (D, anti-codon, and T loops). The record is from RNAcentral. Lineage: Bacteria; Pseudomonadati; Campylobacterota; Epsilonproteobacteria; Campylobacterales; Helicobacteraceae.